This 564-nucleotide ribosomal RNA is filed under the name Colletotrichum gloeosporioides. Its description in RNAcentral is "eukaryotic LSU rRNA". The stretch from base 188 to 341 matches the Rfam family "5.8S ribosomal RNA". Lineage: Eukaryota; Fungi; Ascomycota; Sordariomycetes; Glomerellales; Glomerellaceae. The record is from RNAcentral.
GGAGGGGAAUCAUUACUGAGGUGGAGCUCUACAGCCCUUUGUGAACAUACCUAUAACUGUUGCUUCGGCGGGUAGGGUCUCCGUGACCCUCCCGGCCUCCCGCCCCCGGGCGGGUCGGCGCCCGCCGGAGGAUAACCAAACUCUGAUUUAACGACGUUUCUUCUGAGUGGUACAAGCAAAUAAUCAAAACUUUUAACAACGGAUCUCUUGGUUCUGGCAUCGAUGAAGAACGCAGCGAAAUGCGAUAAGUAAUGUGAAUUGCAGAAUUCAGUGAAUCAUCGAAUCUUUGAACGCACAUUGCGCCCGCCAGCAUUCUGGCGGGCAUGCCUGUUCGAGCGUCAUUUCAACCCUCAAGCUCUGCUUGGUGUUGGGGCCCUACAGCUGAUGUAGGCCCUCAAAGGUAGUGGCGGACCCUCCCGGAGCCUCCUUUGCGUAGUAACUUUACGUCUCGCACUGGGAUCCGGAGGGACUCUUGCCGUAAAACCCCCAAUUCUCCAAAGGUUGACCUCGGAUCAGGUAGGAAUACCCGCUGAACUUAAGCAUAUCAAUUAAAGCGGGAGGAAA